UACGAAGGGGGCUAGCGUUGCUCGGAAUCACUGGGCGUAAAGCGCACGUAGGCGGACUCUUAAGUCGGUGGUGAAAUCCUGGAGCUCAACUCCAGAACUGCCUUCGAUACUGGGAGUCUCGAGUCCGGGAGGGGUGAGUGGAACUGCGAGUGUAGAGGUGAAAUUCGUAGAUAUUCGCAAGAACACCAGUGGCGAAGGCGGCUCACUGGCCCGGUACUGACGCUGAGGUGCGAAAGCGUGGGGAGCAAACAGG
RNAcentral lists this ribosomal RNA (253 nucleotides) under uncultured bacterium. Its description in RNAcentral is "partial 16S ribosomal RNA". It matches the Rfam family "Bacterial small subunit ribosomal RNA", at positions 524 to 776 of the family's 1533-position model. The record is from RNAcentral.